UCGAGAGCUGAUGACGAGUCGUCUUUUAGAUGACGAAGUGGUUGAUGCCAUGCUUCCAAGAAAAGCUUCUAAGCUUCAGGUAACCAGGAACCGUACCCCAAACCGACACAGGUGGUCGGGUAGAGAAUACCAAGGCGCUUGAGAGAACUCGGGUGAAGGAACUAGGCAAAAUGGCACCGUAACUUCGGGAGAAGGUGCGCCGGCUAGGGUGAAGGAUUUACUCCGUAAGCUCUGGCUGGUCGAAGAUACCAGGCCGCUGCGACUGUUUAUUAAAAACACAGCACUCUGCAAACACGAAAGUGGACGUAUAGGGUGUGACGCCUACCCGGUGCCGGAAGGUUAAUUGAUGGGGUUAGCGCAAGCGAAGCUCUUGAUUGAAGCCCCGGUAAACGGCAGCCGUAACGAUAACGGUCCUAAGGUAGCGAAAUUCCUUGUCGGGUAAGUUCCGACCUGCACGAAUGGCGUAACGAUGGCGGCGCUGUCUCCACCCGAGACUCAGUGAAAUUGAAAUCGCUGUGAAGAUGCAGUGUAUCCGCGGCUAGACGGAAAGACCCCGUGAACCUUUACUGUAGCUUUGCACUGGACUUUGAGCCUGCUUGUGUAGGAUAGGUGGGAGGCUUUGAAGCGUGGACGCCAGUUCGCGUGGAGCCAUCCUUGAAAUACCACCCUGGCAUGCUUGAGGUUCUAACUCUGGUCCGUAAUCCGGAUCGAGGACAGUGUAUGGUGGGCAGUUUGACUGGGGCGGUCUCCUCCUAAAGAGUAACGGAGGGGUACGAAGGUGCGCUCAGACCGGUCGGAAAUCGGUCGCAGAGUAUAAAGGCAAAAGCGCGCUUGACUGCGAGACAGACACGUCGAGCAGGUACGAAAGUAGGUCUUAGUGAUCCGGUGGUUCUGUAUGGAAGGGCCAUCGCUCAACGGAUAAAAGGUACUCCGGGGAUAACAGGCUGAUACCGCCCAAGAGUUCAUAUCGACGGCGGUGUUUGGCACCUCGAUGUCGGCUCAUCACAUCCUGGGGCUGAAGCCGGUCCCAAGGGUAUGGCUGUUCGCCAUUUAAAGUGGUACGCGAGCUGGGUUUAGAACGUCGUGAGACAGUUCGGUCCCUAUCUGCCGUGGACGUUUGAGAUUUGAGAGGGGCUGCUCCUAGUACGAGAGGACCGGAGUGGACGAACCUCUGGUGUUCCGGUUGUCACGCCAGUGGCAUUGCCGGGUAGCUAUGUUCGGAAAAGAUAACCGCUGAAAGCAUCUAAGCGGGAAACUUGCCUCAAGAUGAGAUCUCACUGGGAACUUGAUUCCCCUGAAGGGCCGUCGAAGACUACGACGUUGAUAGACCGGGUGUGUAAGCGUUGUGAGGCGUUGAGCUAACCAGUACUAAUUGCCCGUGAGGCUUGAC
Molecule: ribosomal RNA, 1390 nt
Filed under: metagenome
Description: bacterial LSU rRNA
Rfam family: Bacterial large subunit ribosomal RNA
Source: RNAcentral